GGUCAAGUUAUUAAGGGUGCAGGGCGGAUGCCUUGGCACUAGGAGCCGAUGAAGGACGUGAUAAGCUGCGAUAAGCUUCGGGGAGUUGCACGUAAACUUUGAUCCGAAGAUUUCCGAAUGAGGAAACUCACUUAGAGUAAUGUCUAAGUAUCAUUAAGUGAAUACAUAGCUUAAUGAGGGGAACUCAGGGAACUGAAACAUCUAAGUACCUGAAGGAAGAGAAAGAAAUUCGAUUCCGUAAGUAGCGGCGAGCGAACGCGGAUUAGCCCAAACCAAUAAAGUUUUCUUUAUUGGGGUUGCGGACAUAUCAUAACGAAGAGGUAUCGU
This 327-nucleotide ribosomal RNA is filed under the name Clostridioides difficile. Its description in RNAcentral is "partial 23S ribosomal RNA". It matches the Rfam family "Bacterial large subunit ribosomal RNA", at positions 1 to 328 of the family's 2925-position model. The record is from RNAcentral. Lineage: Bacteria; Bacillati; Bacillota; Clostridia; Peptostreptococcales; Peptostreptococcaceae.